GAUGAACGCUGGCGGCGUGCCUAAUACAUGCAAGUCGAGCGAACGGACGAGAAGCUUGCUUUUCUGAUGUUAGCGGCGGACGGGUGAGUAACACGUGGAUAACCUACCUAUAAGACUGGGAUAACUUCGGGAAACCGGAGCUAAUACCGGAUAAUAUUUUGAACCGCAUGGUUCAAAAGUGAAAGACGGUCUUGCUGUCACUUAUAGAUGGAUCCGCGCUGCAUUAGCUAGUUGGUAAGGUAACGGCUACCAAGGCAACGAUGCAUAGCCGACCUGGGAGGGUGAUCGGCCACACUGGAACUGAGACACGGUCCAGACUCCUACGGGAGGCAGCAGUAGGGAAUCUUCCGCAAUGGGCGAAAGCCUGACGGGGCAACGCCGCGUGAGUGAUGAAGGUCUUCGGAUCGUAAAACUCUGUUAUUAGGGAAGAACAUAUGUGUAAGUAACUGUGCACAUCUUGACGGUACCUAAUCAGAAAGCCACGGCUAACUACGUG
This 496-nucleotide ribosomal RNA is filed under the name uncultured bacterium. Its description in RNAcentral is "partial 16S ribosomal RNA". It matches the Rfam family "Bacterial small subunit ribosomal RNA", at positions 28 to 507 of the family's 1533-position model. The record is from RNAcentral.